RNAcentral lists this ribosomal RNA (447 nucleotides) under uncultured bacterium. Its description in RNAcentral is "bacterial SSU rRNA". It matches the Rfam family "Bacterial small subunit ribosomal RNA", at positions 330 to 792 of the family's 1533-position model. The record is from RNAcentral.
UCCAGACUCCUACGGGAGGCAGCAGUGGGGAAUAUUGCACAAUGGGCGAAAGCCUGAUGCAGCAACGCCGCGUGAAGGAAGAAGGCCUUCGGGUCGUAAACUUCUGUCCUUGGGGAAGAAGAACUGACGGUACCCAAGGAGGAAGCCCCGGCUAACUACGUGCCAGCAGCCGCGGUAAUACGUAGGGGGCAAGCGUUAUCCGGAAUUAUUGGGCGUAAAGAGUACGUAGGUGGCAACCCAAGCGCAGGGUUAAAUCCCCGCGGCCAACGCGGGAACCGCCUUGGAAACUGGCAAACUGGAGUGUGGGAGAGGAUAGUGGAAUUCCAGGUGUAGGAGUGAAAUCCGUAGAUAUCGGGAGGAACAUCAGUGGCGAAGGCGACUAUCUGGAACAUAACUGACGCUGAGGAGCGAAAGCGUGGGUAGCAAACAGGAUUAGAUACCCCAGUA